GCGGCGGCGGCGUUGCGAGGCGGCGGCUGUGGGCCCGAGUGGCGCCCGAGCUGCAGGGCCGGACUGAGCCAUGGCUCGCGGGGGACGGUGGCUCCCGAGGCCGAAGGGAGCCCUCGCCUGGGAUGCUCGGGUGCAGGGGGAGAACCGCAGGAUUCGGGGAGAGGCGGCUCGGAAAGCCACUUGAGCCAAACCUGACGUCUGUGCCAGUGACUCUGCCGGGGAACUGCUGAUGUCGGACCAACAGUCAGUCUUCGGAGAACGUUGUCAGUGAGGGGCCGCUGUCCAUCCAAAGUCCAUUUUGCUGUGAAGUUACUGCUGUGACCCAUUUCUAGCUACAGCCAAAGGAUACACUUAUGAAAAGGGUGAUUUGGAAAACAUGGUUUUGUGGACCUGGAAAGAGAAAAGCAUUUCGAGUCAAGGCGAAGUGUUGGUUUUUUAAUGUGUGAUGGCGGGCACACUAGUGCACAAUUUCCCCAAGUCCCCUUGAUCACUUAUUUGGAAAUAAAAAUAGAUAACUAUAAUAAAA
Sorex fumeus (smoky shrew) is the source of this 526-nucleotide long non-coding RNA. RefSeq lists it as uncharacterized. The transcript is spliced from 6 exons. NCBI's taxonomy places the organism in Eukaryota, Metazoa, Chordata, Mammalia, Eulipotyphla, Soricidae. The record is from RefSeq and is a predicted model, not a curated record.